RNAcentral lists this ribosomal RNA (484 nucleotides) under uncultured bacterium. RNAcentral describes it as "partial 16S ribosomal RNA". It matches the Rfam family "Bacterial small subunit ribosomal RNA", at positions 30 to 507 of the family's 1533-position model. The record is from RNAcentral.
AUUGAACGCUGGCGGCAGGCCUAACACAUGCCAGUCGAGCGGAUGAAGGGAGCUUGCUCCUGGAUUCAGCGGCGGACGGGUGAGUAAUGCCUAGGAAUCUGCCUGGUAGUGGGGGAUAACGUCCGGAAACGGGCGCUAAUACCGCAUACGUCCUGAGGGAGAAAGUGGGGGAUCUUCGGACCUCACGCUAUCAGAUGAGCCUAGGUCGGAUUAGCUAGUUGGUGGGGUAAAGGCCAACCAAGGCGACGAUCCGUAACUGGUCUGAGAGGAUGAUCAGUCACACUGGAACUGAGACACGGUCCAGACUCCUACGGGAGGCAGCAGUGGGGAAUAUUGGACAAUGGGCGAAAGCCUGAUCCAGCCAUGCCGCGUGUGUGAAGAAGGUCUUCGGAUUGUAAAGCACUUUAAGUUGGGAGGAAGGGCAGUAAGUUAAUACCUUGCUGUUUUGACGUUACCAACAGAAUAAGCACCGGCUAACUUCGUG